AUUGAACGCUGGCGGCAGGCCUAACACAUGCAAGUCGAGCGGAUGCAUCGAUCUUGCUCCUGGAUUCAGCGGCGGACGGUUGAGUCAUGCCUAUUACUCUGCCUUGUAGUUGGGGAUCACGUCCGAAUACGGGCUCUGCUACCUCAUACGUCCUGAUGGCGACAGUGGGGGAUCUUCGGACCUCUCGCUAUCAUAUGAGCAUAGUUCGGAUGAGCUAGUUGGUGGGGUAAAUGCCUAACAAGGCGGCGAUCCGUAACUGGUCUGAGAGGAUGAUCAGUCACAUGGGAAGUGAGAAACGGUACAGACUCCUACGGGAGGCAGCAGUGGGGAAUAUUGGACAAGGGGGGAAAGGCUGAUCCAGGCAAGCCGCGUGUGUGAAGAAGGACUUAGGAUGGUAAAGCAAUUAAAGUUGGGAGGAAGGGAAGUAAGUUAAGACCGGGAUGUUUUGACGUUACCAACAGAAGAAGCACCGGCUAACUUCGUG
Molecule: ribosomal RNA, 484 nt
Filed under: uncultured bacterium
Lineage: Bacteria
Description: partial 16S ribosomal RNA
Rfam family: Bacterial small subunit ribosomal RNA
Source: RNAcentral